AGUGAACGCUGGCGGUAGGCCUAACACAUGCAAGUCGAACGGCAGCACAGUAAGAGCUUGCUCUUACGGGUGGCGAGUGGCGGACGGGUGAGGAAUACAUCGGAAUCUACUUUUUCGUGGGGGUUAACGUAGGGAAACUUACGCUAAUACCGCAUACGACCUACGGGUGAAAGCAGGGGAUCUUCGGACCUUGCGCGAUUGAAUGAGCCGAUGUCGGAUUAGCUAGUUGGCGGGGUAAAGGCCCACCAAGGCGCCGAUCCGUAGCUGGUCUGAGAGGAUGAUCGGCCACACGGGAACUUAGACACGGUCCAGGCUCCUACGGGAGGCAGCAGUGGGGAAUAUUGGACAAUGGGCGCAAGCCUGAUCCAGCCAUACCGCGUGGGUUGAGGAGGCCUUCGGGUUGUAAAGCCCUUUUGUUGGGAAAGAAAAGCAGCAGGUUAAUACCCCGCUGUUCUGACGGUACCCAAAGAAUAAGCACCGGCUAACUUCGUG
Molecule: ribosomal RNA, 492 nt
Filed under: uncultured bacterium
Lineage: Bacteria
Description: partial 16S ribosomal RNA
Rfam family: Bacterial small subunit ribosomal RNA
Source: RNAcentral